UACGUAGAAGGCGAACGUUAUCCGGAUUUACUGGGCGUAAAGCGGGUGUAGGCAGCUUUCUAAGUCAGUUGUGGAAUCUCCCGACUCAAUCGGGAGACUGCAAUUGAUACUGGAGAACUAGAGGGCAUCAGAAGAAAGCAGAAUUCACGGUGUAGCGGUGAAAUGCGUAGAUAUCGUGAGGAAUACCAGUGGCGAAGGCGGCUUUCUAGGAUGCUCCUGACGCUGAGGCCCGAAAGUGUGGGGAGCGAAACGG
Molecule: ribosomal RNA, 253 nt
Filed under: uncultured microorganism
Description: partial 16S ribosomal RNA
Rfam family: Bacterial small subunit ribosomal RNA
Source: RNAcentral